GACGAACGCUGGCGGCGUGCCUAAUACAUGCAAGUAGAACGCUGAAGAGAGGAGCUUGCUCUUCUUGGAUGAGUUGCGAACGGGUGAGUAACGCGUAGGUAACCUGCCUGGUAGCGGGGGAUAACUAUUGGAAACGAUAGCUAAUACCGCAUAACAACAGUUGUUGCAUGACAGCUGUUUAAAAGAUGCAAUUGCAUCACUACCAGAUGGACCUGCGUUGUAUUAGCUAGUUGGUGAGGUAACGGCUCACCAAGGCGACGAUACAUAGCCGACCUGAGAGGGUGAUCGGCCACACUGGGACUGAGACACGGCCCAGACUCCUACGGGAGGCAGCAGUAGGGAAUCUUCGGCAAUGGGGGGAACCCUGACCGAGCAACGCCGCGUGAGUGAAGAAGGUUUUCGGAUCGUAAAGCUCUGUUGUAAGAGAAGAACGGGUGUGAGAGUGGAAAGUUCACACUGUGACGUAUCUACCAGAAAGGACGCA
RNAcentral lists this ribosomal RNA (484 nucleotides) under Streptococcus sp. oral taxon B66. RNAcentral's name for it is "bacterial SSU rRNA". It matches the Rfam family "Bacterial small subunit ribosomal RNA", at positions 28 to 496 of the family's 1533-position model. The record is from RNAcentral. Lineage: Bacteria; Bacillati; Bacillota; Bacilli; Lactobacillales; Streptococcaceae.